This 398-nucleotide ribosomal RNA is filed under the name uncultured bacterium. RNAcentral describes it as "partial 16S ribosomal RNA". It matches the Rfam family "Bacterial small subunit ribosomal RNA", at positions 360 to 775 of the family's 1533-position model. The record is from RNAcentral.
AAUCUUACGCAAUGGGCUAAAUCCUGACGCAGCCUUGCCGCGUGUAUGAUGAAGUUUUUAGGAUUGUAAAAGUCUUUCACCGGGGACGAUAAUGACGGUACGCGGAGAAGAAUUCGCUGCUAACUUCGUGCCAGAAGCCGCGGUAAUACGAAGGGGGCUAGCGUGGCUCGGAAUUACUGGGCGUAAAGGGGGCGUAAGCGGACAUUUAAGUCAGGGGUGAAAUCCCAGAGCUCAACUCUGGAACUGCCUUUGAUACUGGGUGUCUUGAGUGUGAGAGAGGUAUGUGGAACUCCGAGUGUAGAGGUGAAAUUCGUAGAUAUUCGGAAGAACACCAGUGGCGAAGGCGACAUACUGGCUCAUUACUGACGCUGAGGCGCGAAAGCGUGGGGAGCAAACAG